This 311-nucleotide long non-coding RNA is filed under the name Bos taurus (domestic cattle). Its description in RNAcentral is "long non-coding RNA NONBTAT013702". The record is from RNAcentral. Lineage: Eukaryota; Metazoa; Chordata; Mammalia; Artiodactyla; Bovidae.
ACAUCAUGUUUUAUGAACAUGUCAUGUUCUAAGGAACCAAGUCCCAUAAAAGAACACUAAGGAAAUAUUUAGAAGCAGAACUUCAAAACUUUCUGUCCUUCUGUUUUGCCCACAUUUGGGAGAGGGGAGGGGAUGGUGAAAUGCAGUCAGUUAUAGGCAUUCAUGAAAAGGCUGAAUCCCUUUCAUGUUUGUAAAAUUGAACAUACGUAAUAAAAUAGAGAAAACACUAAAGCCACAGAGGCAGCUGCACAAACUCUUUUCAACUGAUUCUGAAGAGAUUUUAAGCUCAAAGUAGUCCUGACCGAUAACUU